RNAcentral lists this ribosomal RNA (25 nucleotides) under Miscanthus sinensis (eulalia). The record is from RNAcentral. Lineage: Eukaryota; Viridiplantae; Streptophyta; Magnoliopsida; Poales; Poaceae.
UGGGAAGUCCUUGUGUUGCAAUCCC